GAUGAAGAACGUAGCGAAAUGCGAUAAGUAAUGCGAAUUGCAGAAUUCAGUGAAUCAUCGAAUCUUUGAACGCACAUUGCGCCCGCUAGUAUUCUGGCGGGCAUGCCUGUUCGAGCGUCAUUUCAACCAUCAAGCCCUGCUUGUGUUGGGGUCCUGCGGCUGCCCGCAGGCCCUGAAAACCAGUGGCGGGCUCGCUAGUCACACCGAGCGCAGUAGCACAUCUCGCUCAGGGCGUGCGGCGGGUUCUUGCCGUAAAACACCCCCUUUUUACCAAGGUUGACCUCGGAUCAGGUAGGAAUACCCGCUGAACUUAAGCAUAUCAAUAAGCGGAGGA
Molecule: unclassified non-coding RNA, 334 nt
Filed under: soil metagenome
Description: partial contains 5.8S ribosomal RNA, internal transcribed spacer 2, and large subunit ribosomal RNA
Rfam family: 5.8S ribosomal RNA (bases 1-120)
Source: RNAcentral